This 1492-nucleotide ribosomal RNA is filed under the name uncultured cyanobacterium. RNAcentral describes it as "partial 16S ribosomal RNA". The record is from RNAcentral. Lineage: Bacteria; Bacillati; Cyanobacteriota.
GGGGCCUGGACGGGGACUCUAGAGAUUUACGGCCUUGUUACGACUUCACCCCAGUCAUCAGCCCCACCUCGACGUCCUCCUCCACAAGGGUUGGAGUAACGGCUUCGGGCGUGGCCAACUUCCAUGGUGUGACGGGCGGUGUGUACAAGGCCCGGGAACGUAUUCACCGCAGUAUGCUGACCUGCGAUUACUAGCGAUUCCUCCUUCACGUAGGCGAGUUGCAGCCUACGAUCUGAACUGAGCCACGGUUUAUGGGAUUUGCUAGCUCUCGCGAGUUUGCUGCCCUUUGUCCGUAGCAUUGUAGUACGUGUGUAGCCCAGGAUGUAAGGGGCAUGAUGACUUGACGUCAUCCACACCUUCCUCCGGUUUAUCACCGGCGGUCUCUCUAGAGUGCCCAACUCAAUGCUGGCAACUAAAGACGUGGGUUGCGCUCGUUGCGGGACUUAACCCAACAUCUCACGACACGAGCUGACGACAGCCAUGCACCACCUGUCACUGCGCUCCCGAAGGCACUCCCAAGUUUCCAAGGGAUUCGCAGGAUGUCAAACCCUGGUAAGGUUCUUCGCGUUGCAUCGAAUUAAACCACAUACUCCACCGCUUGUGCGGGCCCCCGUCAAUUCCUUUGAGUUUCACACUUGCGUGCGUACUCCCCAGGCGGAACACUUAACGCGUUGGCUACGACACCGAGGGGGUCGAUUCCCCCGACACCUAGUGUUCAUCGUUUACGGCCAGGACUACAGGGGUAUCUAAUCCCUUUCGCUCCCCUGGCUUUCGUCCAUGAGCGUCAGUUAUGGCCCAGCAGAGCGCCUUCGCCACUGGUGUUCUUCCCGAUAUCUACGCAUUUCACCGCUACACCGGGAAUUCCCUCUGCCCCUACCACACUCAAGCCUCCCAGUUUCCAUUGCCGAAAUGGAGUUAAGCUCCACGCUUUGACAACAGACUUAAAAGGCCGCCUGCGGACGCUUUACGCCCAAUAAUUCCGGAUAACGCUUGCCACUCCCGUAUUACCGCGGCUGCUGGCACGGAAUUAGCCGUGGCUUAUUCAUCAAGUACCGUCAGAUCUUCUUCCUUGAUAAAAGAGGUUUACAGCCCAGAGGCCUUCAUCCCUCACGCGGCGUUGCUCCGUCAGGCUUUCGCCCAUUGCGGAAAAUUCCCCACUGCUGCCUCCCGUAGGAGUCUGGGCCGUGUCUCAGUCCCAGUGUGGCUGAUCAUCCUCUCAGACCAGCUACUGAUCGAUGCCUUGGUAGGCUCUUACCCCACCAACUAGCUAAUCAGACGCGAGCUCAUCCUCAGGCGAAUUUCGUUUCACCUCUCGGCAUAUGGGGUAUUAGCGGCCGUUUCCAGCCGUUAUCCCCCUCCUGAGGGCAGAUUCUCACGCGUUACUCACCCGUCCGCCACUAACCCGAAGGUUCGUUCGACUUGCAUGUGUUAAGCACGCCGCCAGCGUUCAUCCUGAGCCAGGAUCAAACUCUAAUCGUCGACUGCAGCAUGC